UGGGUCAGUGAUUGAUUACAGAGUAGUGGAGCUAUAUUGAUUACAGAGCAAAAAGGGAUCUUGAAGGGUUUAGCUCUGAGGGUUAUAUUGAUGGGAAUAUUGCAUUGUUGCUGGGAAGAAGGCUCUUGAAAGUUCUUGUGGUGAGGAAGGAGAGAGAUGAAGAUAUUCCGCUCGUUGGGCCUCCUGUUUUCAGCUUUUGUACAAAGCAAGUGGUAGAGUACACAAUAACCUUCUUGUGGGAUGAUGAUUGCAGAACUCGGAUGGCAACGGUAGUAGAGCGUAUGUUGGCAAAGCUCAAGAUGUGAUGGCUACUGUUUUGACCAAAGGUCCACCCGGCGAACAACUUGACCUGCAAAUGGCACCAGGCCCAACAUUCUUUGCAAACCUCUGUUGCAUUCUAUAAUCAGGCACCCUCCCAUUGAAAAUGCAGCUCCACUCACAGUUGGGAUCAGGGAAUCACCUAUCACUCAUCAAUGGCCUAGCUUUCGGGUUCUGACUAAGACAAUAAUAAUAAUACGCCAAGCUGCACGCCUUCUGAGCUGCCCUGACAGCGUAUUGGUUUUAAAUGAAUCCUUAGAGUCCUAAAAAUACUGCUUUAUAUCUUUUUCAUAUCUUUAAUCUUUCGAAUAUUUGUAAGUCAAUUGGUAUUUGUUUUUCUCUUCCAGGUAAUACCUCAUGACGUGUUUCAA
Molecule: long non-coding RNA, 689 nt
Organism: Raphanus sativus (radish)
Lineage: Eukaryota; Viridiplantae; Streptophyta; Magnoliopsida; Brassicales; Brassicaceae
Exons: 3
Source: RefSeq, a predicted model, not a curated record